Non-coding RNA from Oncorhynchus mykiss (rainbow trout), 934 nucleotides. Lineage: Eukaryota; Metazoa; Chordata; Actinopteri; Salmoniformes; Salmonidae. The record is from RefSeq and is a predicted model, not a curated record.
GACACAACUGUGGGAGGUCUUGGAGUCAACAUGGGCCAGCAUCCCUGUGGAACACUUUAGACACCUUGUAGAGUUCAUGCCCUGACGAAUUUGGGGGGGGAGGACACUCAGUGUACAUGGCCUCUCAAAGUCUCUUAAUCCUAGGAGUACGAGAGCCAGUCGAGCGCUGAGGCUAAACUUGCGAGAGUUUGACCCGCUAGAGAGGAUUCUGCCGGCCCAUGAGUACAAGGAUCUGGAGGAGAAACCAGGCAGGCUACAAUAAUUAUUUGAUUUCACACAAGUCUCUCCCUCCACGGGCUGAUUCCACCACCCGGAGGUUGUCCGGUUUAUGAAGAGUCUGAACGAAGAGAGCUGGCCACAUGGAAGCUGGAGGUGAUGGGUUGUCUAGAUCAGAGACCAAGAAACCAAGAACAGGCUCCUCCUUGUGACUUCAACAUUUUCACUGAAUGAUGCUACACUCAGCAUGUGUCCAUAAUGUUGUGGUAGCCACUGUUCCUCACAGGAAAAUGCAGGAUUUCUGGUUCGGGAGCUGUGGAAUAAUGAAGCAAAAGCUGGGCUAUCGUUAAAAACAAAACGUGCGCCCUGUUUUACUCCUAAAGUGCUCAUUUUAUUCUACAUAGAAAUUGGGAAAGAUUUUGAGUCAUUUGUUUUUAAUGAACGUUUCUGAAUGUGCACAUAUUUCACCUGUAUGAUUCACGUGACGUAUCAGAAGAUGCACGUUUGUAUUUCUUUUUAGUUCGUUUUACCUCUUAAACUGUGAGUCUUUAGUAAAACCACUGGUUAUGAGUUCGAAAACAUUUUUUUGGAAUGAAUUCGAAUAGGCCUACUCGUUCCAAUCAAAUGCAAACACCUCGUGACAUGUUCUCUAGAAAGGCAUUAGCGUAAAUGCUUGAGGAAAUGGGAAGCUGUUUGUCAAUUACAGCACAUUUUAAUA